Molecule: long non-coding RNA, 2193 nt
Organism: Seriola aureovittata
Lineage: Eukaryota; Metazoa; Chordata; Actinopteri; Carangiformes; Carangidae
Exons: 4
Source: RefSeq, a predicted model, not a curated record
GGCUCAAGCAGGCGUCCUAUUAGCUGAGUGCUAACAGGCAGCCUGUGUUCCCGUGGGGGCUGAAUGCUGCUGAGUCAUCCUGUACAAGCUGACCAGUACAACCAUUUGCAUGUUUACUGGAGACCAGGAUGCAGCGAGGGCUGGAGUGUGAAGACUGACAAGUUCAGCCACCAAGCCAAGGUCGCAAAAACUGGAGGAGGCAGGGUGGAGGAGAGCUGUGCAUGAACUACAACCCUCAGGAUGCCAUGGCAAUGAAGACAUGUAGAGGUGUGGUGUGAAGAGGAACAAGGUGAAAGUCUUUCCCCUGUUUUAGGAUCCAAGCCAGCUUAGGUUACCUGAGAGGAAAAUCCACCCAUGAGCAACAGAGCGCAUUAUUCUCUGACCUUGGACUGUUCAAUGGAGAGCUGGAAAACAAAGACUGAUUUAUGGAUCAAGAGCCAACUGCCGGAGCUACAGUAAAAUUAUUGAUGUGAAUGAGGCAUCAGCUUUUCACAAACCAACACACUGACUUUUCUUAUAGUAAAAUAAGUCUCAUUUAGAUCCUGAAACAAGACUCCUGUGACAAGAGAAAGAGUGUUUGCUGACACAUGGGCAGCUGUGAUUGGUUACUGUGCAUUUCUUGAAAUGUACUACAUACAUAUCUGUUGUCGACUCUGCUGCAGACUUUGCACAUGCAUAGGCUGUGUUUUGACAGACGUGUGGUCAGGAUUUCCUGUGUAAUGACAUCAGUCUGAAAGGGAUUUGGCUGCUGCACUGACAUUUGUAUUAUCAAUCCUAAAAGAACAGGAACUCUCAUCUUGUUUCACCAUGGCUGAUAUUUAUUGUGUUGCAGCUGUUAUUCAAGGGGCCCACUAUUUCUCUUGGCACCACAGAUUAGAAAUCAUUUUUGCCUCUGUAGUUUAAAGUUGCCAAAGGGGUGUAAAACACAUCCUGCAUAAGCUGGCACUCUAUCCUGGAAGUCUUGCAUACAUACAAAGAGGCUUGUGUGCAUAAUUCAAAUCUCAAUGUCCACAUUUCCCGAGUUUUUUUUUUCUUCUCUCAGUCAGAUGAGGAGUAAUUCAAAAUGUGACAUGAAAUGAACAUGCAAAUAAUUGUGUUUUUAGAAUGUAUUUUUGAAAAUACUGUCACAGAUGCACUGAACUGGUUUAACACUGAUUGAUAACGUUUUAGGUGACCUAAAGUAUGUUGGCUGCAGGAAAAGAAAGUCUCAGCGGUGUCAUCUCUGGGUGGCCUGUUUCUGGGUUUUUACCCUGAGGCCAGUGGGAUGUGAACAGUGCUGUCUCUCUACAUGGGAUCUUUUGUCCUCUCCACCUUCUCAAUAAUUCAAUGGAAAGAGGAGACAUCAGCUCUGGUAUAAUUACUGUGUGAGGGUGACAAGCUCCUCUGUCAGGGGCAAGAUGGGGACGAGCUUUACAGUGCUGGAGGAAGCUAAACGACACAGAAACUGUGUGUACAGUGACACUGUCGAUGACAAAAGCUUCAGCUACCGGGAGAUGAUGAAACUGCAGGUAAUUUGGAGAAAAUCUUUGUGACAACAUUCUCUGUUUUUGUUUUUCAGUAAGAACUCAACUCAGUGCUUAAUCAUCGCAAAGAAGCUCGAAAAUGGUGAUGGCACCUGAAAAAUGAAUCAUUAGACUCAGGUGCAACAUUUCACUUAUGAACUGUAAUGCAUGUCUUGGGUUUUGGUAUUGUUCUGCAAGUUCUCAGUGGUCAAGGGGCAAUAUGAUCCAUCACUGUUAGGCAGAGAGUUGUGUGAGAUCUUAUUUCAGCUCUGGGCCCAGCUAAGAUGACAGAUCCUGUUAAUAUAACACCAGCCAAAACCCAAACUUCCUGCUAAGUAAAACCCUCGGCAUAAGCAUACCUGCCAAGAUAUGACUAAAACGGUUACUGUCACCGAGACCUAAAACCUGGCAUGGGCACAGGCUUGGCAUAAGGCCCCCAGUUUAAAAUGAGCUAGACAAAGUAGGCAGUCAGAAGUAGAUGUUUUGACACAUUGUCUCCCACAGGUACCCAGGAAAAAGUCUGGACCAAAAUAUAUCAAGUCUGUUGCAGUAGGAGUGCUGAUUUGAAAUCACUGAGACAGUCCCCUGACUGUCUCAUUCCUCAUGAUGUAAGAGGCUGAGCUGAUCCAAGCUCAGCGCUGAUGAUGAAAUUGUUCUUACGUGUCAGAAAGCAUUAAAAAAGGUCAAAGGA